Molecule: long non-coding RNA, 1463 nt
Filed under: Cyanistes caeruleus (blue tit)
Lineage: Eukaryota; Metazoa; Chordata; Aves; Passeriformes; Paridae
Description: lncRNA (ENSCCEG00000022758.1)
Source: RNAcentral
UCUUGUGUAAUUGGUUUCUGUAGGUAAUAACUGAGUUUUCUUAGCGAGCUCCAGCACCUACUGCUAAUAUGCUGUGUGCUUAAAUCAAUCAAAUGAUAAGUUAACCUCUAGUGUUAGAGCUAAUGCAGAAAUAUUUUUGCCUUCCUUUUAGCAGCUAUAAUAUGGCUCUAAUAUACUCUGUACGGUUCCUCUGAUCUAUCAAACAUGGAUCAUGCAUUUCUGACAAUCCUCUUUGGACCCAUGCUGUGAUCAUAAGUGCUAGUAGAUUGCAGGACACUUUUGUGGCUAUAUCCUACAAAGCAGGACUGCUUUUUACAAAUGCAUUAAACAUUCAUACAGACAAAUGUGAAUUUUUUUAGAGCAGAAGCCCUAUUUGCUUGGACAUGUAUGUAUUUUAUAUUUAUAAUUUUUACCAUACCACGCACUGCUCUCUAGAAUUUGAGCUCUGAGAAUCAUUCCUUGGCCUCAGUAAAUGUUGUUUCAUUUAAGACCAAGGGAACAAAUGAAAAUUGCUCAGAUUUACAUUUCAGUGAAAUCUCAUAAGUAAUGCAUGAACUGUGUUUCAUAACUGACUUGUACAGGGCAUUAAGUACCUUGUAACACUCAUCACCUUCUGUAAGGAAACUACAUAGUAGAGAAAUUCUUCCCCUCUUUCAUUUCCAAACUACAGAAAAUCUGGAAGAAUUAUGAGGGAGGCAACUAUUGGUGAAAACUAAAAAUGUUUCUUUUUAAUUAUCAGGGAUUGUCCUGAUUUAGCUAGUUGUUACUGACUAUGGGACAUCACAGAAAAGACUUGUAUUCUGGAUGCAUGAUGUGCUGAAGUGACUGUCACAGUCAGGACUUUUCAGUAUGAGUUUAAUAUGAAUGGAUAGAUCCACUGCCAAGAAACAUGCUGAUGGAAACAACCACACCAGCUCAAAGCUUCUUUCUUAUGAAAGAAAGAAAUGAAAGCUUAUGAAAGCUUCUUUCUAAAGUUCCUCAGGGUUGGUUCCAGGACUGAACCUGCAAGACUGCACAACAGGACAUGUGUGCAUGUGCUGCUUACAUGAUGCAAAUCAACAGACAAGCAGGAGCUAUUCAUAACAACUCCCCACAUGUGGAAGCCUAGAAGAUAAGGUGGCAGAUGUUCAUGUCUCAAACACCUACACCUGGGUAGCCUUAGAGCCAGCCAAGGGCUGCUGGUAAGAACACACUGUGAGAAGGAGCAGGGUGAAGAAGUGGCUGAAGAAGGGGGGACUCAUGAAGGUAGGGCAGCACUUGUCUGGGGGACACAUUCUGGCUCCUGGAGAUAAGCACAGCACACUAUAGCACAGGUGUAGGAAUGAGGCUGAGAAGCAAAUACUGGCUGUAGGGGUGGGAUCAAGACCACAAAAACUCUCUGAACCAUAGAAGUUUUACUGCACAUGAUAACUAAUCUGCAUAGAAAGUGAGAGAAUUAUCUCCAGGUCAGGGAAAACUUAACU